UUCAGAUCAUAAGGCUUGUCCAGUCAACAGCUUUCGAUUUUAUUUGUGCGAAUAUUUGUAAAUUUUUUGGAAAAUGUUGGACGUUAUCUUGUUAAUUAAAUAUAUAAGACUGCAUGAAGUUUGGGAUAAAAAAUAAAUGAUUUUCUGUAAUCCAAUCUGCGCUCUUUGCUCGGUGUCCUUUUGCCUAUAUCUGUAAAGAAGUUCUACUAAAAGACCUCAUCAAGAUGUGCUGUGGACCUUGUUACAAUUGCUGCGCGGCUAGCGGUGCUUAUUAUUGACCUUGCAGCUCCUGCUGCGGACCCUGUUAUUCUCUUGUGGUGGUCGAUAUCGUCCUUGUGGUAGCUGUGGUUCAUGGCUCAGAGCCGGAUGCAGGGCAAGAUACUAGGUAGUAGUUCAACCGAUCUUUGUAUAUGAAAUUGACAACAAAUUUGUAAAUUUUUCGUAUUAUGCCAGUUGUGUAUGAGUAAAUGGUGAUAAGUCUAAAAUGUAGUUUAUACUUGAAGGAAAUCAAGAUUUUUCCUGUAGAUGAUUUUUAGAAUCGAACUGAGUUGAGAAGGACUUUGUACAUAUCAUUUUCUAAGGACAUCAAAGUAACCUUUGAAAUUUGAAGUUGUACAAUCUUCCCUUAGCUACCCAGCCAAGUACAUUCCCGUGUUAAGGCUUGUCCAAUAAACAUCUCUAAUUUUUUAAGAAAUCGACUGAUUCGGAUACCAUAACAAAAUAGUUUACUAAAUGUUAUAAGUCGGUCGAUUAGCCCUCUGCACUCCUGCCAACUGCCUCUUUCCGUGAAGUAGUUCAGCUAAGAGUACUCCAAAGUUAACAUUGCAAUCAGCAUGGGCUUUCCUUGCUAUUCGUGUAACUAUUCCUGCACCUCGCCCUGCAAUGGAUGUUGCAAUGGCUGCUGCGGCUGCAAUGGCUGCUGCGGCGGUAGCGGUUGCUCCGCUGCGGCGUGCUGCUUUCCCGGCGGCUGUGGGGGAUCCUGCUGUUAAACUGCAACUAUCUUCAGAAGGAAAUCUAGGACCUACAUACAACGCAAAAGAUUAGAGAUAAUGGUAUCGAUAAGCCUUUUAAAUUCCGUAUUUCCAAUUUUGGAGAAAAAAAGAAUGUCAUAAUAAAUUGUGUUUUCAUUAAAGCAUGA
Molecule: long non-coding RNA, 1138 nt
Organism: Drosophila hydei
Lineage: Eukaryota; Metazoa; Arthropoda; Insecta; Diptera; Drosophilidae
Exons: 4
Source: RefSeq, a predicted model, not a curated record